UGGGGAAUAUUGCGCAAUGGGCGAAAGCCUGACGCAGCGACGCCGCGUGAGGGAUGAAGGUUUUCGGAUCGUAAACCUCUGUCAGAAGGGAAGAAACCGCACUGUGCUAAUCAGCAGUGCCUUGACGGUACCUUCAAAGGAAGCACCGGCUAACUCCGUGCCAGCAGCCGCGGUAAUACGGAGGGUGCAAGCGUUAAUCGGAAUUACAGGGCGUAAAGCGCACGUAGGCUGCUUUGUAAGUCAGGGGUGAAAUCCCACGGCUCAACCGUGGAACUGCCUUUGAUACUGCUUAGCUUGAAUCCGGGAGAGGGUGGCGGAAUUCCAGGUGUAGGAGUGAAAUCCGUAGAUAUCUGGAGGAACAUCAGUGGCGAAGGCGGCCACCUGGACCGGUAUUGACGCUGAGGUGCGAAAGCGUGGGGAGCAAACAGG
This 429-nucleotide ribosomal RNA is filed under the name Fusobacteriota bacterium. Its description in RNAcentral is "Fusobacteria bacterium partial 16S ribosomal RNA". It matches the Rfam family "Bacterial small subunit ribosomal RNA", at positions 355 to 776 of the family's 1533-position model. Lineage: Bacteria; Fusobacteriati; Fusobacteriota. The record is from RNAcentral.